Acanthopagrus latus (yellowfin seabream) is the source of this 1150-nucleotide long non-coding RNA. RefSeq lists it as uncharacterized. The record is from RefSeq and is a predicted model, not a curated record. NCBI's taxonomy places the organism in Eukaryota, Metazoa, Chordata, Actinopteri, Spariformes, Sparidae. The transcript is spliced from 2 exons.
CAGGAAGAGUGGGAAGAGGAAAGGAAGAGGUUACAGCAUGGAAACAGACAGAGGUGGCGCCCGGAGCAGCACUAUGGAGCUGUAUAUAACACUAUUCCAGAUUGUCACAGCUCUUUCAUGAAUCCAGCUGUGGGCUACCUCUCACAAGCAGUAUCUAUAUCAACGUUGGGUCUGCUUUUCAACACUGCCAAGGAACACACCGAGAAAACCCUUCAGAAGACUUUCUGGAAUAAGAAGCUAUUUCUGACCAAAUCCAAUUCUGUCAUGUAAACUUAUGGGAAUCACCUUCUUGGACACUCAACCGCUCUGUAAAAAUGUUUUUAAGCACCGUCUUCCCAUUGUGCAAUCCGAAGCCAGACGUGUUUCCAUUAGGAACUCGACUCAUGGCAGUAUCAUAUCCGGGACACAGGAUGUGACCAAUGGAGGGGAACCAAUGUCAUUAACAGACGGCUUAGUAAAGCCGCUGCGGCAGGCACCUGUGCUGGGAAAAGACAGCGGGGAAAGGACUCUCCCACGUGAUUGGAACAACUCCAGAAACGAACGUCAAGGGAUGGAAGUCGGAAAACGCCUUGUCUUUUCAUCUGGGUGGCUAAAAGCGGAAGAGAGGAAGUACGGUGUGUGAGAAGGAAGAAUAAGAGACAGACAGUAGAAAGAAAGAAAGAAAGAAAGAAAGAAAGAAAGAAAGAAAGAAAGAAAGAAGUGGUGAUUGUAAAACAUUUUCAGGAGAGGGAAGAAAGGUGUGGGAUAGAGAGUGAAACUGGAUAAAUGAGGGAUGGGGGAUCUGGGAAAUGGUUAUGGUGGUUAUGGAUUACCAUGACAACUCCUGCUGUAUCCCAAGUGUUUUUAUGUUCGACUGCUCUCUGCUGGAUCCAGUCGGAUGACUUAAGCCACGCCAAGUCUCCUGAGAUAUCUACAUUAUUGGAAUUACCAUCAUUUUCCACAGGACCAGUGUACAUACGUAUCCUGCAGUUUUCCCGCUGCUGGAAACGCCACACUGAAGCUGUAAACAGCUCGGAUAUUGACAGGUGCGACUGGAAAUUGCUGUUGUUUGAGAGUUAACAUGUUCCUGCAAGAAAAAAAAGAAAAGAAUCACACUGAAAUUGUACAUCAACAGGCAUGUAAUCAUUAAAUUGAUGCAAGUAUUGGCAAA